Non-coding RNA from Myotis brandtii (Brandt's bat), 74 nucleotides. Lineage: Eukaryota; Metazoa; Chordata; Mammalia; Chiroptera; Vespertilionidae. The record is from Rfam.
GCCAGUGUUGCUAAGUGGUUAGAGCAUCAGCCAGAGCACUGAAGGUUCACGGGUUCUAUUCCUGGUCAAGGGCA